AAUAUCUUCCAGAAGGGGAAAAAUACCUUUUUUCCCUUUAAUUUUAAAACCCAGCAGUUUUUAGAAACACCUGUCACUGCUUCCUUCUCUCCAAUCAGUGAGCAGAGCGGGUGUCUCUCUCAGUAGCAGCUGACAAUUUGAUGAUACUUCAUCAGUGUGGAACUCCUGCUGAAGUAGAUUGAGACAAAGGAAAUGCCUCUCACCAUUGGGACAAAUAAGAAAUCAGAUUUUCUAAGUUAUUGUUAGAAGUAUUAAUCUCACCAGCAAAAUGACAGUCCUCAGAAAAUAACACCAGGCUGGGAUUCAAGAGCCACAGUAAAAUGCUGGUCUUUCCAGAAACUUCCUGCAAACCUCAGGGCUCUUCAAGCCAAGGAACUGCUCUUUUCCUUGAUGGAGCUCUCCAGUGCCUUAACAGAAUUGCGCACAGCAGAUCUUCAAAUAAGGACAGCAAGCAAGCAACACAUUACCUGAAGCCACAGCCAAUUGCAGCACAGCAAAGAUGCUUUGCCAGCAGCUGUUAUCAGCAAACUUGGAAUUCUUGACCAAGAUCACUGAAAACCCAAUAUGAGAACAAAAGGCUACAAAUUAUUUCCAUAGUAUGUUAAAGUUGAGACAGUAGGCUGUAAAAUAAAGAGAAAUCUCUCUAUUAGAUGGAGCUGUCU
This 662-nucleotide long non-coding RNA is filed under the name Numida meleagris (helmeted guineafowl). Its description in RNAcentral is "lncRNA (ENSNMEG00000021831.1)". Lineage: Eukaryota; Metazoa; Chordata; Aves; Galliformes; Numididae. The record is from RNAcentral.